Molecule: unclassified non-coding RNA, 17 nt
Filed under: Mus musculus (house mouse)
Lineage: Eukaryota; Metazoa; Chordata; Mammalia; Rodentia; Muridae
Description: oocyte_clustered_small_RNA12695
Source: RNAcentral
UAGCAAGCCACAUGUUC